GACGAACGCUGGCGGCGUGCUUAACACAUGCAAGUCGAACGGAAAGGCCCUGCUUUUGUGGGGUGCUCGAGUGGCGAACGGGUGAGUAACACGUGAGUAACCUGCCCUUGACUUUGGGAUAACUUCAGGAAACUGGGGCUAAUACCGGAUAGGAGCUCCUGCUGCAUGGUGGGGGUUGGAAAGUUUCGGCGGUUGGGGAUGGACUCGCGGCUUAUCAGCUUGUUGGUGGGGUAGUGGCUUACCAAGGCUUUGACGGGUAGCCGGCCUGAGAGGGUGACCGGCCACAUUGGGACUGAGAUACGGCCCAGACUCCUACGGGAGGCAGCAGUGGGGAAUAUUGCACAAUGGGCGGAAGCAGGAUGCAGCAACGCCGCGUGCGGGAAGACGGCCUUCGGGUUGUAAACCGCUUUCGCCUGUGACGAAGCGUGAGUGACGGUAAUGGGUAAAGAAGCACCGGCUAACUACGU
This 467-nucleotide ribosomal RNA is filed under the name uncultured bacterium. RNAcentral's name for it is "partial 16S ribosomal RNA". It matches the Rfam family "Bacterial small subunit ribosomal RNA", at positions 28 to 506 of the family's 1533-position model. The record is from RNAcentral.